CUGGCGGCGUGCCUAAUACAUGCAAGUCGAGCGCGGGAAGCGGACAAUCACCCUUCGGGGUGUGCGUCCGUGGAACGAGCGGCGGAUGGGUGAGUAUCACGUGGGCAACCUGCCUGUAAGAUUGGGAUAACUCGCGGAAACGUGAGCUAAUACCGAAUGAAGUCUUUCGCCGCCUGGUGAAAGGAUGAAAGAUGGCUCUUGAGCUAUCACUUACAGAUGGGCCCGCGGCGCAUUAGCUAGUUGGUGGGGUAAAGGCCUACCAAGGCGACGAUGCGUAGCCGACCUGAGAGGGUGAUCGGCCACACUGGGACUGAGACACGGCCCAGACUCCUACGGGAGGCAGCAGUAGGGAAUCUUCCGCAAUGGACGAAAGUCUGACGGAGCAACGCCGCGUGAGUGAAUGAAGGUCUUCGGAUCGUAAAACUCUGUUGUCAGGGAAGAACAAGUUGUGUUCUAACAGGACAUGACCUUGACGGUACCUGACCAGAAAGCCACGGCUAACUACGUGCCAGCCGCCGC
This 519-nucleotide ribosomal RNA is filed under the name uncultured bacterium. RNAcentral describes it as "bacterial SSU rRNA". It matches the Rfam family "Bacterial small subunit ribosomal RNA", at positions 36 to 518 of the family's 1533-position model. The record is from RNAcentral.